UACGUAGGUGGCUAGCGUUGUCCGGAUUUACUGGGCGUAAAGAGCGCGCAGGCGGUCGUUCAAGUCGAGUGUGAAAGCCCCCGGCUCAACUGGGGGAUGUCGUGCGAUACGGGCGGACUGGAGGCCAGUAGGGGGAUGCGGAAUUCCGGGUGUAGUGGUGGAAUGCGUAGAGAUCCGGAGGAACACCAGCGGCGAAGGCGGCAUCCUGGACUGGUCCUGACACUCAGGAGCGAAAGCGUGGGGAGCGAUCCGG
Molecule: ribosomal RNA, 253 nt
Filed under: uncultured bacterium
Lineage: Bacteria
Description: partial 16S ribosomal RNA
Rfam family: Bacterial small subunit ribosomal RNA
Source: RNAcentral